GGAGGACGCUCACCACUUUGUGGUUCAUGACUGGGGUGAAGUCGUAACAAGGUAGCGCUAGGGGAACCUGGCGCUGGAUCACCUCCUUA
This 89-nucleotide ribosomal RNA is filed under the name Vibrio vulnificus. RNAcentral describes it as "partial 16S ribosomal RNA". It matches the Rfam family "Bacterial small subunit ribosomal RNA", at positions 1445 to 1533 of the family's 1533-position model. The record is from RNAcentral. Lineage: Bacteria; Pseudomonadati; Pseudomonadota; Gammaproteobacteria; Vibrionales; Vibrionaceae.